Molecule: transfer RNA, 72 nt
Filed under: Marmota monax (woodchuck)
Lineage: Eukaryota; Metazoa; Chordata; Mammalia; Rodentia; Sciuridae
Description: tRNA.Ala
Rfam family: tRNA
About the family: Transfer RNA (tRNA) molecules are approximately 80 nucleotides in length. Their secondary structure includes four short double-helical elements and three loops (D, anti-codon, and T loops).
Source: RNAcentral
GGGGAUAUAGCUCAGUUGGUAGAGUGCGUACCUUGCAUGCACAAGGCCCUGGGUUCGUUCCCCAGCACCACA